CCUACGGGGGGCAGCAGUAGGGAAUCUUCCACAAUGGGCGCAAGCCUGAUGCAGCAACACCGCGUGAGUGAAGAAGGCUUUCGGCUUGUAAAGCUCUGUUGUUGGAGAAGAACGUGCGAGAGGGUAACUGUUCACGCAGUGACGGUACCCAACCAGAAAGUCACGGCUAACUACGUGCCAGCAGCCGCGGUAAUACGUAGGUGGCAAGCGUUAUCCGGAUUUAUUGGGCGUAAAGCGAGCGCAGGCGGUUGCUUAGGUCUGAUGUGAAAGCCUUCGGCUUAACCGAAGAAGUGCAUCGGAAACUGGGCAACUUGAGUGCAGGAGAGGCAGGUGGAACUCCAUGUGUAGCGGUGGAAUGCGUAGAUAUAUGGAAGAACACCAGUGGCGAAGGCGGCUGUCUGGUCUGCAACUGACGCUGAGGCUCGAAAGCAUGGGGAGCGAACAGGAUUAGAUACCCUGGUAGUC
RNAcentral lists this ribosomal RNA (465 nucleotides) under uncultured bacterium. RNAcentral describes it as "partial 16S ribosomal RNA". It matches the Rfam family "Bacterial small subunit ribosomal RNA", at positions 338 to 795 of the family's 1533-position model. The record is from RNAcentral.